This 363-nucleotide transfer-messenger RNA is filed under the name zebrafish metagenome. It matches the Rfam family "transfer-messenger RNA". From Rfam's summary of the family: Bacterial tmRNA, also known as 10Sa RNA or SsrA, is named for its dual tRNA and mRNA-like properties. Its role is to liberate the mRNA from a stalled ribosome. The record is from RNAcentral.
GGGGGCGAACUAGGAUCGACCGGAUUGCGAAGGUGUCCGGUUGCGUGCCGAGGUUGGUCAGCGGGCCUCGUAAAAAGCCGACUAAAAUGUUAACUGGCGAGAAUACCUCGCUCCGUCUCGCUGCCUAAGGCAGUUGAGUGGCAUCGCGGCGACCCUUCUCCUGCUAGGGCCGCCCGGUGACGACAAUGCGGGAUCGUUUGUGCCUAACCGCCCAUUGCGGCACGGACUAAAUUCAUGGUGGGCUAAGCGAACGGCAACCUUGUCGAUCAGGGUGUCGUCGCCGACAAUUAAAUGAUCGACUACGCACGUAGACGCCCUCACUAACGGGUCUCGGGACGCGGGUGCAAUUCCCGCCGCCUCCAC